RNAcentral lists this microRNA precursor (205 nucleotides) under Oryza sativa Indica Group (long-grained rice). RNAcentral's name for it is "MIR812 microRNA precursor family". It matches the Rfam family "MIR812 microRNA precursor family". Lineage: Eukaryota; Viridiplantae; Streptophyta; Magnoliopsida; Poales; Poaceae. The record is from Rfam by way of RNAcentral.
UAUAAGUGCAGCCAUGGUUUUCCGCGCCCAACUUUGACCGUCCGUCUUAUUUAAAAAAUUUUAAAAAAAAUUUAAAAACAUAAGUCACGAGUAAAGUACUAUUUAUAUUUUAUCAUCUCAUAACAAUAAAAAUAUUAAUUAUAAAAAACUUUCAAAUAAGACGAACGAUCAAAGUUAGACGCGGAAACUUAUGGUUGCACUUAUA